This 645-nucleotide ribosomal RNA is filed under the name Bacillus subtilis. RNAcentral describes it as "bacterial SSU rRNA". It matches the Rfam family "Bacterial small subunit ribosomal RNA", at positions 50 to 678 of the family's 1533-position model. Lineage: Bacteria; Bacillati; Bacillota; Bacilli; Caryophanales; Bacillaceae. The record is from RNAcentral.
UAUACAUGCAAGUCGAGCGGACAGAUGGGAGCUUGCUCCCUGAUGUUAGCGGCGGACGGGUGAGUAACACGUGGGUAACCUGCCUGUAAGACUGGGAUAACUCCGGGAAACCGGGGCUAAUACCGGAUGCUUGUUUGAACCGCAUGGUUCAAACAUAAAAGGUGGCUUCGGCUACCACUUACAGAUGGACCCGCGGCGCAUUAGCUAGUUGGUGAGGUAAUGGCUCACCAAGGCGACGAUGCGUAGCCGACCUGAGAGGGUGAUCGGCCACACUGGGAAUGAGACACGGCCCAGACUCCUACGGGAGGCAGCAGUAGGGAAUCUUCCGCAAUGGACGAAAGUCUGACGGAGCAACGCCGCGUGAGUGAUGAAGGUUUUCGGAUCGUAAAGCUCUGUUGUUAGGGAAGAACAAGUACCGUUCGAAUAGGGCGGUACCUUGACGGUACCUAACCAGAAAGCCACGGCUAACUACGUGCCAGCAGCCGCGGUAAUACGUAGGUGGCAAGCGUUGUCCGGAAUUAUUGGGCGUAAAGGGCUCGCAGGCGGUUUCUUAAGUCUGAUUUGAAUUGCUCCCGGCUCACCGGGGAGGGUCAUUGGAAACUGGGGAACUUGAGUGCAGAGAGGAGAGUGGAAUUCCACGUGUAG